AGUUUUGCGCAGUGGCAGUAUUGUAGCCAAUGAGGUUUAUCUGAGGUGCGAUUAUUGCUAAUUGAAAAGA
RNAcentral lists this small nuclear RNA (70 nucleotides) under Heterocephalus glaber (naked mole-rat). RNAcentral describes it as "U4 spliceosomal RNA". It matches the Rfam family "U4 spliceosomal RNA". Rfam says of the family: U4 small nuclear RNA (U4 snRNA) is a component of the major U2-dependent spliceosome. The structure of U4 snRNA from yeast and human has been reported. Lineage: Eukaryota; Metazoa; Chordata; Mammalia; Rodentia; Bathyergidae. The record is from Rfam by way of RNAcentral.